GACGAACCGAGCGAACGUUAUUCGGAAUCACUGGGCUUAAAGGGCGCGUAGGCGGGCCCGAAAGUCAGGGGUGAAAGCCCCCAGCUCAACUGGGGAAGUGCCUCUGAUACUGCGGGCCUCGAGCGAGGUAGGGGCGUGCGGAACUUCCGGUGGAGCGGUGAAAUGCGUAGAUAUCGGAAGGAACAUCGGUGGCGAAAGCGGCGCGCUGGACCUCUUCUGACGCUGAGGCGCGAAAGCCAGGGGAGCGAACGGG
RNAcentral lists this ribosomal RNA (253 nucleotides) under uncultured bacterium. RNAcentral describes it as "partial 16S ribosomal RNA". It matches the Rfam family "Bacterial small subunit ribosomal RNA", at positions 524 to 776 of the family's 1533-position model. The record is from RNAcentral.